AUCUAAAGCCAUGCCACCCUAAACAGGCCCGAUCCCAUCUGAUCUUGGAAGCUAACCAGGGUUGGACCUGGUUAGUACUUGGAUGGGAAACCACCUAGGAAGACUAUAGAUGCUGUAGGUG
RNAcentral lists this ribosomal RNA (121 nucleotides) under Pteropus alecto (black flying fox). The record is from RNAcentral. Lineage: Eukaryota; Metazoa; Chordata; Mammalia; Chiroptera; Pteropodidae.